This 231-nucleotide unclassified non-coding RNA is filed under the name plant metagenome. RNAcentral's name for it is "partial contains small subunit ribosomal RNA, internal transcribed spacer 1, and 5.8S ribosomal RNA". The stretch from base 183 to 231 matches the Rfam family "5.8S ribosomal RNA", at positions 1 to 49 of the family's 154-position model. The record is from RNAcentral.
UUUCCGUAGGUGAACCUGCGGAAGGAUCAUUCAUAAUAAAGUGUUUUAUGGCACUUUUUAAAAAUCCAUAUCCACCUUGUGUGCAAUGUUAGAUCUCGUCAAUCUUGGCGAGAUUUUUAUACAUCAACUCAUUUUUUAACUAAUUUGUCUGAAAAAUAUUAUGAAUACUUAAUUCAAAAUACAACUUUCAACAACGGAUCUCUUGGCUCUCGCAUCGAUGAAGAAGGCAGC